AUUGAACGCUGGCGGCAUGCCUUACACAUGCAAGUCGAACGGUAACGGGCCUUCGGGUGCCGACGAGUGGCGAACGGGUGAGUAAUGCAUCGGAACGUACCUUUCAGUGGGGGAUAACGUAGCGAAAGUUACGCUAAUACCGCAUAUUCUGUGAGCAGGAAAGCAGGGGAUCGCAAGACCUUGCGCUGAUUGAGCGGCCGAUGUCAGAUUAGCUAGUUGGUGAGGUAAAGGCUCACCAAGGCGACGAUCUGUAGCGGGUCUGAGAGGAUGAUCCGCCACACUGGAACUGAGACACGGUCCAGACUCCUACGGGAGGCAGCAGUGGGGAAUUUUGGACAAUGGGGGCAACCCUGAUCCAGCCAUGCCGCGUGAGUGAAGAAGGCCUCGGUUGUAAGACUCUUUCGGUCC
Molecule: ribosomal RNA, 408 nt
Filed under: uncultured bacterium
Lineage: Bacteria
Description: bacterial SSU rRNA
Rfam family: Bacterial small subunit ribosomal RNA
Source: RNAcentral